Molecule: microRNA precursor, 97 nt
Filed under: Pelobates cultripes (western spadefoot toad)
Lineage: Eukaryota; Metazoa; Chordata; Amphibia; Anura; Pelobatidae
Source: RNAcentral
UCGACGUUUCAGCCACAAUACAUGGCUUUCAUCAGGAUCUUUACAGCUCUAACUUUGUAAAGAUCCUGAUGAAAGCCAUGUAUUGUGGCUGAAACGU